This 174-nucleotide non-coding RNA is filed under the name Hathewaya proteolytica. RNAcentral's name for it is "Clostridium proteolyticum Lysine sequence". It matches the Rfam family "Lysine riboswitch aptamer". From Rfam's summary of the family: Riboswitches are metabolite binding domains within certain messenger RNAs that serve as precision sensors for their corresponding targets. Allosteric rearrangement of mRNA structure is mediated by ligand binding, and this results in modulation of gene expression. The record is from RNAcentral. Lineage: Bacteria; Bacillati; Bacillota; Clostridia; Eubacteriales; Clostridiaceae. RNAcentral also lists the same sequence under 1 other name.
AGACCCGAUAGAGGCGCUGUAUUUAUUAGUAAACUCCUUGAGAUAGGCAUUGAUGAAAGAAGUUGAAAGGAAAUAUGGCCGAAGUGUAUACCCUAUGCCUUAUGGUUAUGCGCUGGUCAUACAUACAACAUAUGUAUGACUGUCACACUUCAGUUGUGGAGAGCUAUCUUGUUC